UGUUUCGGCUAGGGGGUCAUCCCGACUUACCAACCCGAUGCAAACUACGAAUACCGAAGAAUGUUAUCACGGGAGACACACGGCGGGUGCUAACGUCCGUCGUGAAGAGGGAAACAACCCAGACCGCCAGCUAAGGUCCCAAAGUCAUGGUUAAGUGGGAAACGAUGUGGGAAGGCACAGACAGCCAGGAUGUUGGCUUAGAAGCAGCCAUCAUUUAAAGAAAGCGUAAUAGCUCACUGGUCGAGUCGGCCUGCGCGGAAGAUGUAACGGGGCUAAACC
Molecule: ribosomal RNA, 279 nt
Filed under: Klebsiella pneumoniae
Lineage: Bacteria; Pseudomonadati; Pseudomonadota; Gammaproteobacteria; Enterobacterales; Enterobacteriaceae
Description: partial 23S ribosomal RNA
Rfam family: Bacterial large subunit ribosomal RNA
Source: RNAcentral